UACGAAGGGGGCGAGCGUUGUUCGGAAUUACUGGGCGUAAAGGGCGCGCAGGCGGCGAGUUUUGUCAGGCGUGAAAGCCCCGGGCUCAACCUGGGAACUGCGCUUGAAACGGGCUUGCUGGAGACCGGGAGAGGAGAGUGGAAUUCCCAGUGUAGAGGUGAAAUUCGUAGAUAUUCGCAAAAACACCAGUGGCGAAGGCGGCUCACUGGCCCGAUACUGACGCUGAGGCACGAAAGCGUGGGGAGCAAACAGG
RNAcentral lists this ribosomal RNA (253 nucleotides) under uncultured bacterium. Its description in RNAcentral is "partial 16S ribosomal RNA". It matches the Rfam family "Bacterial small subunit ribosomal RNA", at positions 524 to 776 of the family's 1533-position model. The record is from RNAcentral.